AGUAGUGUAAGAGAGCUUCCUUCAGCCCACUCAUGGAUGGGAAAAAGAGGGUCUGAAUUAUCUGCCGACUCAUUCAUUCAAACACUCAGUAGACCGAAGAAUUUGCAAGGGCGUUCUACUGUGAUUGCAUGAAUGAUGCGGGAGAUAGUUUCAUCCUUCUCUCUCCUUGCUUGGACUGAAGGGAGCUCCCUUUCUCUAUUCA
This is a non-coding RNA of Beta vulgaris subsp. vulgaris (sugar beet), 202 nucleotides long. The record is from Rfam. Lineage: Eukaryota; Viridiplantae; Streptophyta; Magnoliopsida; Caryophyllales; Amaranthaceae.